This 315-nucleotide ribosomal RNA is filed under the name uncultured bacterium. RNAcentral's name for it is "bacterial SSU rRNA". It matches the Rfam family "Bacterial small subunit ribosomal RNA", at positions 28 to 334 of the family's 1533-position model. The record is from RNAcentral.
GAUGAACGCUAGCUACAGGCUUAACACAUGCAAGUCGAGGGGCAGCAUGGUCUUAGCUUGCUAAGGCCGAUGGCGACCGGCGCACGGGUGAGUAACACGUAUCCAACCUGCCGUCUACUCUUGGACAGCCUUCUGAAAGGAAGAUUAAUACAAGAUGGCAUCAUGAGUCCGCAUGUUCACAUGAUUAAAGGUAUUCCGGUAGACGAUGGGGAUGCGUUCCAUUAGAUAGUAGGCGGGGUAACGGCCCACCGAGGCGUCGAUGGAUAGGGGUUCUGAGAGGAAGGUCCCCCACAUUGGAACUGAGACACGGUCCAA